RNAcentral lists this ribosomal RNA (465 nucleotides) under uncultured bacterium. RNAcentral's name for it is "partial 16S ribosomal RNA". It matches the Rfam family "Bacterial small subunit ribosomal RNA", at positions 28 to 507 of the family's 1533-position model. The record is from RNAcentral.
GACGAACGCUGGCGGCGUGCUUAACACAUGCAAGUCGAACGGAAAGGCCCCUUUGUGGCUACUCGAGCGUCGACCGGGGGAGUAACACGUGAGUAACCUGCCCUUGCCUUCGGGACAACUUUAGCUUACUGGGGCCAAUACCGGAUAGGAAUCCUUGCUGCAUGGUGGGGGUUGGAAAGUUUCGGCGGUUUUGGGUGGACUCGCUGCUUAUCUGCUUGUUGGUGGGGCGGUGGCUUACCAAGGCGUUUACGCGUAGCCAGCCUGUGGGGGCGACCGGCCACAUUGGGACUGACGGGCGGCCCCGACAGCUACGCGAGGGAGCAGUGGGGAAUAUUGCAGGAGGAGCGGAAGCCUAGUGAAGCAAGGCCGCGUGCGGGAUGACGGUGUUCUGAUUGUAGACCGCAUUCGGAAGGGGCGAUGCAUGUGGUGACGGUACCUGAUGAGGAAGCAACGGCUAACUACGUG